Long non-coding RNA from Spinacia oleracea (spinach), 416 nucleotides. RefSeq lists it as uncharacterized. The transcript is spliced from 4 exons. NCBI's taxonomy places the organism in Eukaryota, Viridiplantae, Streptophyta, Magnoliopsida, Caryophyllales, Amaranthaceae. The record is from RefSeq and is a predicted model, not a curated record.
CGAACCCUUUAAGUAUCUACCAAACUAACGCAGUCAAGCUACUCGCCGACCACUCUAAGUUGAAGCAGGCUCUCUCACCUCAAGGUUAUCAACGGUCGUCGUUGUUGCGUUGCUGAACCGGCAACCAAGCUAAGGAUGGUGACAACCAGAUCAAUGUCUGGAACAACUAAGAAAACUGAUACGAGGAUGGUGACAACCAGAUCAAUGUCUGGAAUAACUAAGAAAACUGAUACAAUGAUGGUGCCAACCAGAGCUAUGUCUGGAACAACUAAGAACACAACCAAGAAAACUGAUACGAGGUAAGUUUUAUGAAAUUUUAUUUUAUUAUUAAAUUGUUAAUGGUUUCUGAGAAUAUUUUUUUUGGUGUGUGAUUAGGAUUGCUGUGAAUCAUGAAGUUGCUAGGAGAGCAAGCAAGC